This 1244-nucleotide long non-coding RNA is filed under the name Aotus nancymaae (Ma's night monkey). RNAcentral describes it as "lncRNA (ENSANAG00000038967.1)". Lineage: Eukaryota; Metazoa; Chordata; Mammalia; Primates; Aotidae. The record is from RNAcentral.
AAUUAAUAUUAGUGUAAAUUUAUUUUCUUCCUGGCUACGCUUUUCUUGAAAGAUGACUCUUAGGAUGUUUUUCUUUUUAACAUGUUUUGGUUUUUGCUACUUAAUAUGGAUAGAACAGUAAUUUUCCCAAGGAUUUCAGAGCCACUAAGACUUAGCUUCUAUUCAGUCUUUCAAAAUCUCUUAAGUCUUUUAGAAUUAGAUGACCUACCUAUGUUGAGGUUUAGCCAUGAGAUGUUUUAAGCUUGGAAGUUAAGGCAGAAUUAAAGAUACUUUAUGCAUUUGCCCAUACUAAUGAAAAGGAUUCCUUGAAAUGUUAGUCAGAACUUCUGUAAAAGAACCUAGAAAAAUACGUACCAUAUAAACUGUUCUUUGGAAUUUUCUACCUUUAGCUAAGUGUUAGGCGGAAAAAUACUAAAGAGAUGUUUGGUGGCUUCUUCAAAAGUGUGGUGAAAAGUGCUGAUGAAGUCCUUUUUACUGGAGUUAAGGAGGUAGAUGACUUCUUUGAGCAAGAGAAGAACUUCCUUGUUAACUAUUACAAUAGGAUCAAAGAUUCUUGUGUGAAAGCUGACAAAAUGACCAGAUCUCAUAAAAGUAAAUAUCAUUUACCAUUAGUAACUUAGAGCUUUGCUGAUGGGCCUGGCUAUUGUUUGGAUAAAAAGAGCUGUCCUUGUUUCUACAGAUGUUGCCGAUGACUACAUCCACACUGCAGCCUGCUUACAUAGCCUGGCUUUAGAAGAGCCCACAGUCAUCAAAAAGUAAGUUUUUUUGGAAAAGCAUUUCCUCUAACUUAAUUGAAGAGUGCUGAGUGGUAUAACUAAAAGCAUAAAUGAGUAAAGACUACCAUGGUUUCCAUCCUGCUGUGGAGUUACAGGCUCACUAAGGCAAGUCUCCAGCACUCAUCUUACAUGUUCUCUGUACAUAAGACACUUGUAAGACAAUUGUAGGGGACUUGGGCUCUUCUACAUACAAACAAAUACGGUUAAUAUGGUCAAAGCAGUAGUUUCUGUCACACUUAAAAAGCCUGUUUGCUCUAGUUUUGGGGGUUGAGAGAGUUUAUCUGGCGAUUGGUGCUUGCCAUUUUGCCUGCCUGGUAAUGCCCUGGACCACCCUUUUGGGCUGGGAUGCAGCCCCAGGAGAUCCUGAGAACGUGUGCCUCUCUCCCUGGAUCUUGAAGAGAUUUGGUUAUGAUGGUCUGAAGAAUAAUGUAAUGACCUCAGUCUGAUACACAGCUGGUUUGAUGCACA